This is a non-coding RNA of Monodelphis domestica (gray short-tailed opossum), 363 nucleotides long. NCBI's taxonomy places the organism in Eukaryota, Metazoa, Chordata, Mammalia, Didelphimorphia, Didelphidae. The record is from RefSeq and is a predicted model, not a curated record.
GGAUCACGUCACUCCUGAGGCGAAGCCAGUCAGAACCUGCAGCAUGCCAUACCACGGGGUUUGGGUCCGGUUCCUUGGUAGGGGCUAAGGCCUGGGCAUUGGGAACAUUCACGCGCACCCCGAAAGGGACUCAAGAUUUUUCCAUAUAUCUUUUAUACAAGACCUGCACUAUGUUUGAAGUAUCUGCUCAUUCACAGGAUGAUCAUAGGAACCUAGGAUUACAGCUGGAACAGACCUGAGAGGUCAUUCAUCUACUACAAACCCCAUUAUUUUGUUUUGGUUUUUAAUAUUAUCAUAGAUAAAUGUGAGGUAUCAAGAAAAGAAAUUUAAACCUUUAACAAUUAAAAAAAGUUCUCACAAACU